This 221-nucleotide unclassified non-coding RNA is filed under the name soil metagenome. RNAcentral's name for it is "partial contains small subunit ribosomal RNA, internal transcribed spacer 1, and 5.8S ribosomal RNA". The record is from RNAcentral.
UCUCCGUUGGUGAACCAGCGGAGGGAUCAUUACAGAGUUGCAAAACUCCCUAAACCAUUGUGAACCUACCUUCUACCGUUGCUUCGGCGGGCGGGCCUAGCGCCCCCCCGGCCCCCCGCGGGCGCCCGCCGGAGGAUAACCAAACUCUUGACAUCAGUGGCCUCUCUGAGUAUUCUUUACUGAAUAAGUCAAAACUUUCAACAACGGAUCUCUUGGUUCUG